GGCGGUGUGUCCGAGUGGUUAAGGAGACGGACUCGAAAUCCGUUAGGCUUUGCCUGCGCAGGUUCGAAUCCUGCCGCCGUCG
Ochotona princeps (American pika) is the source of this 82-nucleotide non-coding RNA. The record is from the annotation of a RefSeq genome assembly. NCBI's taxonomy places the organism in Eukaryota, Metazoa, Chordata, Mammalia, Lagomorpha, Ochotonidae.